RNAcentral lists this long non-coding RNA (1328 nucleotides) under Malus domestica (apple). Its description in RNAcentral is "long non-coding RNA (MDOM_LNC001768)". The record is from RNAcentral. Lineage: Eukaryota; Viridiplantae; Streptophyta; Magnoliopsida; Rosales; Rosaceae.
UAGUUUGGUUAUAUGUUAUUUCCCUAAAGUUUGAAUGGUUUUGGGAUGUUUUUGGAGUAAAAAUGUUCAUGGAAUUUUUUUGGGUUUUUCAUGAAUGUUCUUCAUUGUUCUUGACAUUUUUGCCAAGAACAAAAAGUUUUGUGUUUUGAUUCAAAGUUUUGUUUUAUUUCAUAAAGUUUAUGUUUUAUGUUUUUCAAAUGUUUAAAUGUUUUAGAUAUUUGUUUAAAUGGUGUAAGAGUUGUAAGAGAUAUUAUGGUGGGUGUGAAAGGAUUAAUUCCCUUUCACACACACCACUUGCACCACUUGCAUGCUUUAUGUCAAAACUCACAAAUCAACACACACAUCACUCCAUUACUCUUCCAAAACCGGCCCUCCCUCAAGUGGGAGUACUUUUGGGACUUUUAUGCAAUUACAUAAAGUUUUGAUACUUUUGUGUAUUUGCACUUUGGCCCAAAAGUUUACGCUUUUACGUUUAGGUCCAAAAACGCUAAAGGACAAAUUGUUUUGCUCCUUUAAUGAAGUUUUUGCAUUGUUUAAAUUUUGGGUUCUAGUGUAAUUACAUGAAGUAGUGGACUUUUGUGUUCUUACAAAGUGACCCCAAAAGUUUAUGUUUUUGCAAUAUUGCCCAAAGGUUGUGGUAAUUGCAUUUUGGCCCAAAUUAGGUUGAGAACAAAAUUGUUUUGUCUCUUUAAAUGAGAAUUGGAUUUUCAUUUCAUUUUUAGCUCCAUUUAAAUCAAUUUUAUGGAUACAAAAACCAAAUGAAAAUGUUGCAUUCAAUUUAAUUAGUUAAAGUGUUAAUUAAUUAAAGGGUGAUUAUGAACCUAAGCCUAAUAUAAUUGAGCUAUGUGAAAGGCCGUUUCAAAUUUGUUUGAACCAUGGGAAUGUGUAGAAAGAUUUUGGUUGUAAUUUGAUUUGAUCAAAUGUUGUAAAAGGGCAUAAGCCCUUCUUUACUUUAAAGUAAUUUGUUUUAUGCAAAUGUUGUAAUGAGCAUAAGCUCACCUUUACUUUGAAGUACUUCUUUCUUGCUUUAUUUUAUAUGCAUGAAAAUGAAGUAGUUGGGUCCAACGCCCCUAAGACAACACGCCUUAAUGUGAUUAAACGCGUAACUAAAAUCAAUCACCAUCCCUAGACCAAGAUUCAACACAAGGCUCGUGUUGGAUCUAAUUAAAAGGUUCAUAGUCAUCCUAAGGCCCUAAGGCAACUAUAUAGUCCAUCAAAUGAAUGCAAAAGUUUAUGUUAGUAGUAUCAUAUACUCUUGCUUUAAAAACGUUUUAUAAGCAUAGUGGGAGUAUUAUAUACAACUAAAAACAAUCAUAUGGACCAAUAGU